This 775-nucleotide ribosomal RNA is filed under the name uncultured Neocallimastigales. RNAcentral's name for it is "partial large subunit ribosomal RNA". It matches the Rfam family "Eukaryotic large subunit ribosomal RNA", at positions 20 to 645 of the family's 3401-position model. Lineage: Eukaryota; Fungi; Neocallimastigomycota; Neocallimastigomycetes; Neocallimastigales. The record is from RNAcentral.
UACUAGAGUAGCACUCGCAUAUCAAUAAGCGGAGGAAAAGAAACUAACAAGGAUUCCCCUAGUAACGGCGAGUGAAGCGGGAAGAGCUCAAAUUUGAAAUCUUAAAGGGUUUCCCUUUACGAAUUGUAGUUUAAAGAAGUGUUUUCUGUUGAGGUUUUGGUAAAAGUUCUUUGGAAUAGGACAUCAUAGAGGGUGAGAAUCCCGUAUUUGACCUUUACUUUCAACUUUGUGAUACACUUUCAAAGAGUCGGAUUGUUUGGGAAUGCAGUCCAAAAUGGGUGGUAAAUUUCAUCUAAAGCUAAAUAUUGGCGAGAGACCGAUAGCGAACAAGUACCGUGAGGGAAAGAUGAAAAGAGCUUUGAAAAGAGAGUUAAACAGUACGUGAAAUUGUCAAAAGGGAAGCGUUUGACACCAGUGUUGUUUUUCUGAAAAUCAAUUAAAGAACUGUUUAUGCUAAGCUGUUUAGACUUUAUCAGCUAUACUGUUUAGUUUUGAGCUUUUCUUUAAUGCACUUUUCAGUUAACAAGUCAACAUCAAUUUCUUUUGCUGUAAAAAAGCUUGAGGAAGGUGGCUUGAGAUUCGUCUUAAGUGUUUAUAGCCUCUUGCCUAUGCAGUCGGAGAGAUUGAGGUCUGCAGCGUAGAUCCUUCGGGGCUAAAUGCAUUUGUGCUAAGUUAUAGCAUUUCAUAGACAACUUGUUGACUAUGAUUUGUCUUGUAGCUUACUCGCUUAUGUUAUUUUACCUACGCUUAGGAUGUUGAUAUCGCGCUCUCACUG